GUGAACGCUGGCGGCAGGCCUAACACAUGCAAGUCGAACGGCAGCACAGUGGUAGCAAUACCAUGGGUGGCGAGUGGCGGACGGGUGAGGAAUACAUCGGAAUCUACUUUUUCGUGGGGGAUAACGUAGGGAAACUUACGCUAAUACCGCAUACGACCUCCGGGUGAAAGCAGGGGACCUUCGGGCCUUGCGCGAUUAAAUGAGCCGAUGUCGGAUUAGCUAGUUGGCGGGGUAAAGGCCCACCAAGGCGACGAUCCGUAGCUG
This 264-nucleotide ribosomal RNA is filed under the name Stenotrophomonas sp. ISO73_OTU11486. RNAcentral's name for it is "partial 16S ribosomal RNA". It matches the Rfam family "Bacterial small subunit ribosomal RNA", at positions 29 to 289 of the family's 1533-position model. Lineage: Bacteria; Pseudomonadati; Pseudomonadota; Gammaproteobacteria; Lysobacterales; Lysobacteraceae. The record is from RNAcentral.